CUUUUACAUAGCUGUUUGUGAUGCUAAAGCUGGGAUUCCCAAAACUGUCUUGCCCUUUUGUCCGCUCUCCUUCUGUCAGGCUCAGCCGAAGGAGGGCGCUAGAGCGAGGCCGCAAGGCUGGAGGAGGGUGAAGGGACUGCUCUUCUGUUUCCUGCUCCCUUCCUGUUUUCUUAUGGUUUCUGCGAGUGUCACCCCAGCAGCCCUUUCUCAUCCAGCGCUAGUAAUUCCCUCUGCAGAAGGCGCUGAAGCCAGUCUGCCGUUUUUCCAAUAAUUGCAAAACCAGCCUCACGGGCCCCCAUCAUGGUCACCAGCAGCGGACCAGUGUGUGCCUCUCCGUCACCAGAGUUUUGGGUCCCUGCACAGUGGGACCCUUCUCUAAGUUUCUAAAUUUUAAUAAUUCCAGACACUUCUCUUUCUUCCCCUCUGACGUAAGGAUGACGGUGCUUCCUGUAGCUGUAGCCGUUAUGACCUUAGAAUUCUUUUCACCUUUUCAAUCUCCUAGUUAAAAAUUUUAUGCAUGGUUAACCAUUCUUGUAUUGAAUUCUCUGUUUUUAAAAAGCCUCAGCUAAGGCAUUAAUCCUGCUUAGACCUGGGUCAGGUCCUUAAGUCAGCUCACUGAGGGUUUUCUUCAAGGAUAGUUGUGAAGAUUUGUUGACCUAAUGCAAGUAAAACAUUUCGAAAAGUGCCUGGUACAUGAACCUCUGAUACUCAAUGAGUUGGCAAAUCCCUGAGACACAGAAUCUUAGAGUUGAACUGUAACCUGGAUGAUAAGUGGUUCAGACUCUCCUAUACGUAUUCAGACAGGAAAUUCUCCAGAGGGCAGAAGGGAAAUUCAUUUCAUUACUACAGCAUGAUAGAAAUAUUUCUUAAAGAACAUCAAAUUCCCUUUGUUCCAAUUCAGUGCUCUCCAGUACUGAAAUGAUAGAGGAAAAAAAGGAAGAUGAAAUGUUGAUUAUAUGGUAGUAUGAGAUGAGAGCAGGAAAAGGAUGAUUUUUAUGAGCUCAUGUUCUUGCAACCUAAUUCAUCAGUUUGAAAUUCAAACACUCGUCAAGCAAGAGAAACCAGCUGCCAUAAUGUGCGUUGUCCUAUAGAGAGACCAAGGUGGCAAAAAACACCCCUGAGGAGUCCACUGGUCAGCAGCCAGUGAGAAACUGAAACCUGCAAUUCAACAACAAGUCAACGAGCCGUGAGAGUGGUCCUGGAAGUGAGU
This 1210-nucleotide long non-coding RNA is filed under the name Equus caballus (horse). RNAcentral's name for it is "lncRNA (ENSECAG00000030912.3)". Lineage: Eukaryota; Metazoa; Chordata; Mammalia; Perissodactyla; Equidae. The record is from RNAcentral.